This is a long non-coding RNA of Mus musculus (house mouse), 1016 nucleotides long. RefSeq annotates it as predicted gene, 46143. Lineage: Eukaryota; Metazoa; Chordata; Mammalia; Rodentia; Muridae. The record is from RefSeq and is a predicted model, not a curated record. The transcript has 2 exons.
UACUAGAAGGCAUCCCUAGAAUAUCUUUAGAUUCCAGGCUCUGCCUUAACUCUACGAGUGAAGACUCUUGCUGACCACUUUACAACUUGAUCCAAUUCAGCUUUCCAGGAGAUGUGUGCAAUGCCUCUGUACGGGCCUUGAGGACAGAUUCUCCUACUGUGGCUCAAGGGGUGCCACGGAGCUGUCUACAUGGUAAGAACAUUAAUAUUUUUUGAACAAAUUAGCUAAUUAAUAAUUAAGUUACUUUAUUUGAUGUCUCCCUCAUGUGAGGCUUUUGUAGUUUUUUCCAGUGAACAACAGGGGUUGGUUGUGACUUUCUACUGAUCUCCUGCUCCUGUGGUUCUGGGACUGUGACAACAGAAUCUGUCAUUUCUUAGAUAUCCUGCAUGUUCCAUGCACAGAGCACGGCACCCGGGGAGAGGAGAUGAUUUGAACACAGAUGGAAUGUUCCCACUCCAAUUGGUGGCAAUUUUGCUUUGGAUGAGCUGUUGAUAACAGAGCCUAGUGGGAAAAGAACCAGCAGAUAGAGACAGUGGUCAAACCAACACUUGGCUCCUUGAUGAAGAGAAAAGGCAAGAGGUCUCCCAAAUCUUAAAGUAUUGGGAGUUCAACCUCUCUUCCCACCCCUUCCCUUGGAAGGAGUGGGGAUGGCAGGUCAUGGUGGAGGUUCUGAAGAUGCUAAUUUAAAAGUCACAUAGAGCUUGUGGUCAUUUGCCCAGGAAAUGAUCUCCGCAGGCUCAAGAAUUCGAGCAUUUACUGCCCAGUUGGUGGCACUGCUUGGGGAGGUUAUAGAACCUUUGGAGGUGGCACUGACUUGAGGAAGAUCACUGGAGGAGAUGGGGUGCUUUAAGAGUUUUAUAGCUUUGCCCAAGUUCUGCUUCAUUCUCUACUUUGGGUUUGGUCUUUGCAGGAGUGAUCUCUGGACUUGCUGCUCCCGUUGUCAGCUUCCAUGCCUCCCCCACCAUUAUGGACUCCCCCUCUGAAACUGUAGUCAAAAUAAACUCUAUCUUUCAUAA